This 465-nucleotide ribosomal RNA is filed under the name uncultured bacterium. RNAcentral's name for it is "partial 16S ribosomal RNA". It matches the Rfam family "Bacterial small subunit ribosomal RNA", at positions 28 to 507 of the family's 1533-position model. The record is from RNAcentral.
GACGAACGCUGGCGGCGUGCUUAACACAUGCAAGUCGAACGGAAAGGCCCCUUCGGGGGUACUCGAGUGGCGAACAGGUGAGUAACACGUGAGUAACCUGCCCUUGACUUCGGGAUAACUUCAGGAAACUGGGGCUAAUACCGGAUAGGAAUCCUUGCUGCAUGGUGGGGGUUGGAAAGCUUCGGCGGUUUUGGAUGGACUCGCGGCUUAUCAGCUUGUUGGUGGGGUAGUGGCUUACCAAGGCUUUGACGGGUAGCCGGCCUGAGAGGGCGACCGGCCACAUUGGGACUGAGAUACGGCCCAGACUCCGACGGGAGGCAGAAGUGGGGAAUAUUGAACGAUGGGCGGAGGCCUGAUGCAGCAACGCCGCGUGCGGGAUGACGGUCUUCGGGUUGAAAACCGCUUUCAGCAGGGGCGAAGCUUGUGGUGACGGUACCUGCAGAAGAAGCACCGGCUAACUACGUG